AUAGGAAAAGGUUGCUAAUAAACUGCUCAAAGAAAAUGCACGCACUGGAAUAAACAGGUGAAAGAAGAUGGAGGAAGGGGACUCGGCAGGAUGUCGCAUCCUGGGCCUACGUAGUUUGUCAGAAACAAACAUCAGAGUCAACGUAGUUCGGGAAAAUGGGAAGUAUGCUCGCUAGGACAUCGCAUCCUAUGCCUACGUAUCUUCUCU
This 207-nucleotide long non-coding RNA is filed under the name Lathyrus oleraceus (garden pea). RNAcentral describes it as "Pisum sativum (pea) long non-coding RNA (PSAT_LNC005126)". The record is from RNAcentral. Lineage: Eukaryota; Viridiplantae; Streptophyta; Magnoliopsida; Fabales; Fabaceae.